GACGAACGCUGGCGGCGUGCUUAACACAUGCAAGUCGAACGGAAAGGCCCUGCUUUUGUGGGGUGCUCGAGUGGCGAACGGUGAGUAACACGUGAGUAACCUGCCCCUUGACUUUGGGAUAACUUCAGGAAACUGGGGCUAAUACCGGAUAGGAGCUCCUGCUGCAUGGUGGGGUUGGAAAGUUUCGGCGGUUGGGGAUGGACUCGCGGCUUAUCAGCUUGUUGGUGGGGUAGUGGCUUACCAAGGCUUUGACGGGUAGCCGGCCUGAGAGGGUGACCGGCCACAUUGGGACUGAGAUACGGCCCAGACUCCUACGGGAGGCAGCAGUGGGGAAUAUUGCACAAUGGGCGGAAGCCUGAUGCAGCAACGCCGCGUGCGGGAUGACGGCCUCGGUUGUAACGCUUCGCCUCGUGACGAAGACGUGAGUGACGGUAAGUGGUAAGAAGACACCGGCGUAACUACGUAGCCAGCAGCCGCGGUAAU
This 483-nucleotide ribosomal RNA is filed under the name uncultured bacterium. RNAcentral describes it as "bacterial SSU rRNA". It matches the Rfam family "Bacterial small subunit ribosomal RNA", at positions 28 to 524 of the family's 1533-position model. The record is from RNAcentral.